Molecule: ribosomal RNA, 544 nt
Filed under: Petriella guttulata
Lineage: Eukaryota; Fungi; Ascomycota; Sordariomycetes; Microascales; Microascaceae
Also listed under: 1 other name
Description: SSU rRNA
Rfam family: Eukaryotic small subunit ribosomal RNA
Source: RNAcentral
GGUCCAGACACAGUGAGGAUUGACAGAUUGAGAGCUCUUUCUUGAUUCUGUGGGUGGUGGUGCAUGGCCGUUCUUAGUUGGUGGAGUGAUUUGUCUGCUUAAUUGCGAUAACGAACGAGACCUUAACCUGCUAAAUAGCCCGUACUGCUUUGGCAGUUCGCCGGCUUCUUAGAGGGACUAUCGGCUCAAGCCGAUGGAAGUUUGAGGCAAUAACAGGUCUGUGAUGCCCUUAGAUGUCCUGGGCCGCACGCGCGUUACACUGACAGAGCCAGCGAGUAUUUCCUUGACCGGAAGGUCCGGGUAAUCUUGUUAAACUCUGUCGUGCUGGGGAUAGAGCAUUGCAAUUAUUGCUCUUCAACGAGGAAUCCCUAGUAAGCGCAAGUCAUCAGCUUGCGUUGAUUACGUCCCUGCCCUUUGUACACACCGCCCGUCGCUACUACCGAUUGAAUGGCUCAGUGAGACCUCCGGACUGGCCCAGAGAGGUGGGCAACUACCACUCAGGGCCGGAAAGUUGUUCAAACUCGGUCAUUUAGAGGAAGUAAAA